Molecule: ribosomal RNA, 515 nt
Filed under: uncultured delta proteobacterium
Lineage: Bacteria; Deltaproteobacteria
Description: bacterial SSU rRNA
Rfam family: Bacterial small subunit ribosomal RNA
Source: RNAcentral
AGAACGAACGUUAGCGGCGGGCCUAACACAUGCAAGUCGAGCGAGAAAGUGGCUUCGGCCACGAGUAAAGCGGCGGACGGGUGAGUAACACGUAGGUAAUCUUCCCUUGAGCGGGGGACAACGAGCCGAAAGGCUCGCUAAUACCGCAUACGUUUCCAGAGGCCCCGGUCUCUGGAAGGAAAGCUAGGUAGCAAUAUCUGGCACUCGAGGAGGAGCCUGCGUCGCAUCAGCUAGUUGGUGGGGUAACGGCCUACCAAGGCGAAGACGCGUAGCUGGUCUGAGAGGAUGAUCAGCCACACUGGGACUGAGACACGGCCCAGACUCCUACGGGAGGCAGCAGUGGGGAAUAUUGGACAAUGGGCGCAAGCCUGAUCCAGCCACGCCGCGUGAGUGAUGAAGGCCUUCGGGUCGUAAAGCUCUGUGGGGAGGGACGAACCGCUGCAGGUUAAUACCCUGCAGCAUGACGGUACCUCCUUAGCAAGCACCGGCUAACUUCGUGCCAGCAGCCGCGGUAA